RNAcentral lists this long non-coding RNA (304 nucleotides) under Phasianus colchicus (ring-necked pheasant). RNAcentral's name for it is "lncRNA (ENSPCLG00000008612.1)". The record is from RNAcentral. Lineage: Eukaryota; Metazoa; Chordata; Aves; Galliformes; Phasianidae.
GAGGUGGAAAAAUCCAUCUUGGCAGCUGAACAACCUUGCCUGUUUGUCUGCAGAGCACAGGAGGAUCCUGGCCCUGACUGAGAGACGAGAAUUGAAACUGCAGACAUGGAUUCCUCGGUUCCAGGAGCCCUGAGCCACUGUGAUGAUAUUUGCACCCCAUAAACAUGCCAACCACUGGGAAUUUUGUUUUUCAGCACCUAGCUUGCCUUGGAUAAUGGUGAUUCAGGAACACACAUACAGACAGCUUAACCAUGGUUUUGAUGUUGAACCAAGUGAGGAAGCAGUGUGUUUCAGAGCAGUUUUG